AACCGGGACAGUGGUAGAGCGUUUUCCAUGACUUCCAUGCGUUAUGUGUUCUACGCAGGCUCUAGGCGGCGCAGUCCCGCAUGGCGCCGCGCAUCACUAGCACCGCCAAGGUGUGCGUGCUGGGCAUGCCCUGCUCGUCCACAUAGGAGCUCAGCCCUGCUCGUCCACACAGGAGCUCACUGGGCGGUGGGCUUACAUGGAGUCAGUGCUGUUGAGGAGGGUUGCGGCUCUUUGGGAACUGCAACGUACUGGGGCAUCAAACUCUGGGCGCAAGGGAAGCUUACGUCUUACAGAGAGUGUUGACUACGUAAUGGGUCUAUGGACCAUCGAUGUAUGUGUUGCCGACGCGUGUGUAUAGUGCUGGCCCUGCACCGCGUUGGCAUCAGACGUGUUAGGGUGUCUUUACAAUAUUGAAAGGGUUCAAGCUGCACUCGUACGAGCACCGCAACCGAGGCCUCAUCCGCGCGUCCGCAUACCGCAUGGAAACGGCUUCCGCGCGAAAACACGCAUCACUCGCCCGGAUGGCUGCUGUGAAGUACCGACUGCUCUUGAUCCCAGUCAUCACGAAGAACGCAAUGGGAGAGGGGUGUAUAUGUACCUAGACAGAGACACAGUUAGACAUUGUAACGAACGUACAGCUAUGGACGAGCUAGUUACCUAGCCAGUCUCUGCGGCCCCCUUCUCCAGACUAACGGCUACCCGCACAUGUCGUCCACCGGCCCGCCUUUCCCAAGCUGAGCCCGAUUGGCAAUCCGAGUCACAACCACGUCUUCGCUGGGAUCAACCUUGCUUUUGAGCUUGCUGUAGAUAUGGACACCGUCCUCGGUUGAGAUUUCAAACGCCCCCGGCCGUCCAUCGCCCUCAAGAUUCCCCUCUACAACCACGCCAGGAAAGGCAGCCUCUAUGGCGUCCGCCAUCGCUAUGAAGGCAUCGACGUUCUCCGGAUCGUACUCGAUAUGAACCACCUUGGGCGGAGCACGAUCCAAGCCGGCGCGUCAUGCAUAUUGGCGAAAGCCGUAGCUGGAAAGGGACACUGGAUAGUGUUUGCAUAAGAAUGGCGUCCGACAUCCCAGCCGCGCUGUCGGGAGGAACAAGCAGCGGUGUAAGCUUGUUGCAGGGUAGCGGUUAAGGCGGUUAGGACGCCAGGCUAUCUUGACGUGUUGGCGAGGAUACGCAAGCAGGAGAUGUGCUGUUGUAUUAGGCGCCACGGAUCUGAGCUGGACACUAACGCACCUGUUAGUGGUUCCAUGGCCACGACCUGCCCUUGCAAGCCAAGCGUCGCCUCUGCUGCAAGGCUAGCAGCAUUUGUCAGAGUAUUCGAUACACCCGACAGAGACACACGAGUGAACAGCGUUCCUAACGCUCGUCGCAUGAUUUGCACGAAUUCAAGGAAGCGAGAAAAAAUGUCCUUCUUACAGGAAAUUAAUUUUUAGAAAUCAAGCAAAUGCCUUUAAGUGUUACUCGCAAGAGCUGAGGUACAACGCCAAAGCGACAUCAACGCCGAUCAAUUGACCAAAUGCUAUGGAGUAAGCACUCAUUAUAAUAGAAGAUGCAAGGAGACUGUGGACAUGUCGUUGAUACGAAUCUGUAGGGGUUUCAUUGACAUUUUAGGCGCUCUUACCCUGGCGCCGUACCAUAUAGAUCCUGAGCUUCAGACACAAUAAC
Molecule: long non-coding RNA, 1665 nt
Filed under: Volvox carteri
Lineage: Eukaryota; Viridiplantae; Chlorophyta; Chlorophyceae; Chlamydomonadales; Volvocaceae
Description: long non-coding RNA (VCAR_LNC001170)
Source: RNAcentral